ACGGGAGGCAGCAGUGGGGAAUAUUGGGCAAUGGGCGAAAGCCUGACCCAGCGACGCCGCGUGAGGGAAGAAGGUCUUCGGAUUGUAAACCUUAGUCAACAGGGAAGAAGAAGAUGACGGUACCUGUGGAGGAAGCCACGGCUAACUACGUGCCAGCAGCCGCGGUAAUACGUAGGUGGCGAGCGUUAUCCGGAUUUACUGGGUGUAAAGGGUGUGUAGGCGGAGCGGCAAGUCAGAUGUGAAAACUAUGGGCUCAACCCAUAAAGUGCAUUUGAAACUGUCGUCCUUGAGAGCAGGAGAGGUAAAUAGAAUUCCCGGUGUAGCGGUGAAAUGCGUAGAUAUCGGGAGGAAUACCGGUGGCGAAGGCGAUUUACUGGACUGCAACUGACGCUGAGACACGAAAGUGUGGGGAGCAAACAGGAUUAGAUACCCUGGUA
RNAcentral lists this ribosomal RNA (437 nucleotides) under uncultured Oscillospiraceae bacterium. Its description in RNAcentral is "bacterial SSU rRNA". It matches the Rfam family "Bacterial small subunit ribosomal RNA", at positions 341 to 792 of the family's 1533-position model. The record is from RNAcentral. Lineage: Bacteria; Bacillati; Bacillota; Clostridia; Eubacteriales; Oscillospiraceae.